UCGCAAGACCUUGCGCUAAAGGAGCGGCCGAUGUCUGAUUAGCUAGUUGGUGGGGUAAAAGCCUACCAAGGCGACGAUCAGUAGUUGGUCUGAGAGGACGACCAACCACACUGGGACUGAGACACGGUCCAGACUCCUACGGGAGGCAGCAGUGGGGAAUUUUGGACAAUGGGCGAAAGCCUGAUCCAGCCAUGCCGCGUGAGUGAAGAAGGCCUUCGGGUUGUAAAGCUCUUUCAGUCGGAAAGAAACGAUUGUGAUUAAUACUCACAAUUAAUGACGGUACCGACAGAAGAAGCACCGGCUAACUACGUGCCAGCAGCCGCGGUAAUACGUAGGGUGCGAGCGUUAAUCGGAAUUACUGGGCGUAAAGGGUGCGCAGGCGGUCUUGUAAGUCAGAUGUGAAAUCCCCGGGCUUAACCUGGGAAUUGCGUUUGAAACUACAAAGCUAGA
Molecule: ribosomal RNA, 450 nt
Filed under: uncultured bacterium
Lineage: Bacteria
Description: bacterial SSU rRNA
Rfam family: Bacterial small subunit ribosomal RNA
Source: RNAcentral